RNAcentral lists this ribosomal RNA (253 nucleotides) under uncultured bacterium. RNAcentral's name for it is "partial 16S ribosomal RNA". It matches the Rfam family "Bacterial small subunit ribosomal RNA", at positions 524 to 776 of the family's 1533-position model. The record is from RNAcentral.
UACGUAGGGUGCAAGCGUUGUCCGGAAUUAUUGGGCGUAAAGAGCUCGUAGGUGGCCUGUCGCGUCGGCUGUGAAAACUCGGGGCUCAACUCCGAGCUUGCAGUCGAUACGGGCAGGCUAGAGUUCGGCAGGGGAGACUGGAAUUCCUGGUGUAGCGGUGAAAUGCGCAGAUAUCGGGAGGAACACCGGUGGCGAAGGCGGUUCUCUGGGCCUGUACUGACGCUGAGGAGCGAAAGCGUGGGGAGCGAACAGG